CUCCGAGUCUCUUCUCCACAGAGUCAGACCGGUGGACUCAGUUUGAGUUGUCCUCACUGUGCUGUGGGAGCAGAGGGGGCGGUCCUUCUCGCUCCACGAACUCCCCUGACCCUGUGCUUGGGUAGGAUUCAGAGUCCUGCUCCGUGAGGUCUGGUGCUGGAGAAGCGCCUCUCAGUGCGGCGAUAUGUGGUCCCAGCUGGCUUUGUCUGUGCCAUAGCACUUCAGGGAGGACCGUCUUCUUCUACUGCAGACUGAGCCUCCGGCCUUGGCACCACAAGCCCCGCGGGUGGUGGACGCAGGGUGGCUUUGUCUUUUCCCACAGCACUCCAGGGAAACAGUGGCCUUUUCCUCCUACAGACUGUGCCCUCGGCCCAGCCACUGUGUCCAGGGGUGGCAGAUGCAGGAGAACUGGUUGGCUGACUGCCUCCUGCCUCCUGUCACCUGAUGCUGACGCUUGCAAGUCCUGGAAGCUGUCGGGGAUACUGAACAGCUGGAGCCUCCACUUUGUUGGAUUUGAGGGCAUCUCCAGGGUUUGCCAGGAGGCAUCUCCAGAAAGUUCAUCAAAAGCAUCUAUUCAGCUUCGUUUCUACCACAAAAUCUCUGGCUGUUAUGGAUGAACUGUGCCCAUCCCCCAAAAGAUAUGUUGAACCUAAUCUCCAGUACCUGGUACCUCAGAACACGACCUUAUUUGGAAAUCGAGGUGUUGGAGACAUAAUUAGUUAAGAUGAGAUCAUACUGGAGUAGGGUGGGCUCAUGAUCCAAUAGAACUGGAUGUGUCCUUACAAGAUGGCCCUGUGAAGAUACCAGAGACAAGAAAGGAAGAACAGUGAGUGAGAACAUCUUGUGAGGACGAAGACGAGAUUGAGUUAUGCAAGUCAAGGAACACCAGAGACUGUCGGUAAAACACCAGAAGCUAGGAAGAGACAAGGAAGGAUUGCCCUACAGCUUUCAGAGGGAGUAUGAGUCUGCCAACCCCUUCAUCUUGUACUUCUAGCUCCAGAACUGUGGGACAAUGACUUUCUGUACCCAGUUUGUGGUACUUUGUUACAGCAGCCCUAGGAAACAAACACAUUGGCUUUGACUAUAUUUUGAAUUUUCUUUUCAGAAUGAUACCGACAGCAUUAUUCCACAUGGUAAUCAUCAAAGCAAGCAAAUGCUAGAGCUCUUCCAUCUAAGUAUUUCCAGCCCUGAAUUGAAACCAAUUUCAAACAGUCUAUGAACUCGCAUACAUGUUGUCAAAUACAUGCUGCAGGGGAAUGAAUCUCCUAAGCUACUUAGCUGUACAAAUAUAACUAACAUUAUUUUCCUACAACUUGAUUUUGAAACAAUAGCUUUGCUGAGACAUAAUUGUUACUAAAAUUCACUAUUUUAGUGUACAUUUCACUGGUUUUUAGUACAUUCACAAAGUUGUGCAACCAUCACCAUUAUAUAAUUUUAGAAUAUUUUCAUUACCUCAAAAAGAAACUCCAUACCUAAUAGCAACCACUCCUCACCCUACUCCCUUUCCCUAGCCCCUGGAAACCACUAAUCUACUUUCUGUUUCCACUGAUUUGGCUAUGCUGGACAUUUCAUAUAAAUGGAAUUGUAUACUAUGUGACUGGCUUCUUUCACUUAGGACUAUGCAUUUAAGGUUCCUUUAUGUCUUUUCAUGACUCAACAGCUCAUUUCUUUUUAGUGCCAAAUCGAUUACAUUGUCUGGAUAUACCACGGUUUAUUUAUCCAACCCGAUUGUUUAUCCAUGUAAUGACAGAGAUCUUGGUUGCUUUCAAAUUUUGGCAAUCAUGAAUA
Long non-coding RNA from Prionailurus viverrinus (fishing cat), 1788 nucleotides. RefSeq lists it as uncharacterized. The record is from RefSeq and is a predicted model, not a curated record. The transcript has 3 exons. Lineage: Eukaryota; Metazoa; Chordata; Mammalia; Carnivora; Felidae.